Molecule: ribosomal RNA, 254 nt
Filed under: uncultured bacterium
Lineage: Bacteria
Description: partial 16S ribosomal RNA
Rfam family: Bacterial small subunit ribosomal RNA
Source: RNAcentral
UACAGGGGGAGCAAGCGUUGUUCGGAUUUACUGGGCGUAAAGGGCGCGUAGGCGGCCACUGCAAGUCAGUUGUGAAAUCUCCGGGCUUAACCCGGAAAGGUCAACUGAUACUGCAGGGCUAGAGUGCAGAAGGGGCAACUGGAAUUCUCGGUGUAGCGGUGAAAUGCGUAGAUAUCGAGAGGAACACCUGCGGCGAAGGCGGGUUGCUGGGCUGACACUGACGCUGAUGUGCGAAAGCUAGGGGAGCGAACGGG